GACGGAGGGUGCUAGCGUUGUUCGGAAUCACUGGGCGUAAAGGGCGCGCAGGCGGCCCGGCCAGUCGGACGUGAAAGCCCGGGGCUCAACCCCGGAACGGCGUCCGAGACGGCCGGGCUGGAGACCGGGAGAGGAGGGUGGAAUAGCCAGUGUAGAGGUGAAAUUCGUAGAUAUUGGCUGGAACACCGGUGGCGAAAGCGGCUCUCUGGCCCGGGUCUGACGCUGAGGCGCGAAAGCGUGGGGAGCAAACAGG
Molecule: ribosomal RNA, 253 nt
Filed under: uncultured bacterium
Lineage: Bacteria
Description: partial 16S ribosomal RNA
Rfam family: Bacterial small subunit ribosomal RNA
Source: RNAcentral